Molecule: ribosomal RNA, 468 nt
Filed under: uncultured bacterium
Lineage: Bacteria
Description: partial 16S ribosomal RNA
Rfam family: Bacterial small subunit ribosomal RNA
Source: RNAcentral
GACGAACGCUGGCGGCGUGCUUAACACAUGCAAGUCGAACGGAAAGGCCCUGCUUUUGUGGGGUGCUCGAGUGGCGAACGGGUGAGUAACACGUGAGUAACCUGCCCUUGACUUUGGGAUAACUUCAGGAAACUGGGGCUAAUACCGGAUAGGAGCUCCUGCUGCAUGGUGGGGGUUGGAAAGUUUCGGCGGUUGGGGAUGGACUCGCGGCUUAUCAGCUUGUUGGUGGGGUAGUGGCUUACCAAGGCCUUGACGGGUAGCCGGCCUGAGAGGGUGACCGGCCACAUUGGGACUGAGAUACGGCCCAGACUCCUACGGGAGGCAGCAGUGGGGAAUAUUGCUCAAUGGGCGGAAGCCUGAUGCAGCAACGCCGCGUGCGGGAUGACGGCCUUCGGGUUGUAAACCGCUUUCGCCUGUGACGAAGCGUGAGUGACGGUAAUGGGUAAAGAAGCACCGGCUAACUACGUG